GACGAACGCUGGCGGCGUGCCUAAUACAUGCAAGUCGAGCGGACUUAAAAAGCUUGCUUUUUAAGUUAGCGGCGGACGGGUGAGUAACACGUGGGCAACCUGCCUGUAAGACUGGGAUAACUUCGGGAAACCGGAGCUAAUACCGGAUAAUCCUUUUCUACUCAUGUAGAAAAGCUGAAAGACGGUUUACGCUGUCACUUACAGAUGGGCCCGCGGCGCAUUAGCUAGUUGGUGAGGUAACGGCUCACCAAGGCGACGAUGCGUAGCCGACCUGAGAGGGGGAUCGGCCACACUGGGACUGAGACACGGCCCAGACUCCUACGGGAGGCAGCAGUAGGGAAUCUUCCGCAAUGGGCGAAAGUCUGACGGAGCAACGCCGCGUGAGUGAUGAAGGUUUUCGGAUCGUAAAACUCUGUUGUUAGGGAAGAACAAGUACGAGAGUAACUGCUCGUACCUUGACGGUACCUAACCAGAAAGCCACGGCUAACUACGUG
Molecule: ribosomal RNA, 494 nt
Filed under: uncultured bacterium
Lineage: Bacteria
Description: partial 16S ribosomal RNA
Rfam family: Bacterial small subunit ribosomal RNA
Source: RNAcentral